Molecule: ribosomal RNA, 42 nt
Filed under: Cuminum cyminum
Lineage: Eukaryota; Viridiplantae; Streptophyta; Magnoliopsida; Apiales; Apiaceae
Description: partial 28S ribosomal RNA
Source: RNAcentral
UUGUGACCCCAGGUCAGGCGGGACUACCCGCUGAGUUUAAGC